UACAGAGGGUGCAAGCGUUAUUCGGAAUUACUGGGCGUAAAGAGCGCGUAGGCCGUUCGAUAAGUUUGAUGUGAAAGCCCUGGACUCAAUCCAGGAAGUGCAUCGAAUACUGUCGGACUAGAGUAUAGGAGAGGACAACGGAAUUUCUGGUGUAGAGGUGAAAUUCGUAGAUAUCAGAAGGAACAACAGUGGCGAAGGCGGUUGUCUGGACUAUUACUGACGCUGAGGCGCGAAAGUGUGGGGAGCAAACAGG
This 253-nucleotide ribosomal RNA is filed under the name uncultured bacterium. RNAcentral's name for it is "partial 16S ribosomal RNA". It matches the Rfam family "Bacterial small subunit ribosomal RNA", at positions 524 to 776 of the family's 1533-position model. The record is from RNAcentral.